Molecule: ribosomal RNA, 253 nt
Filed under: uncultured bacterium
Lineage: Bacteria
Description: partial 16S ribosomal RNA
Rfam family: Bacterial small subunit ribosomal RNA
Source: RNAcentral
UACAGAGGUCCCAAGCGUUGUUCGGAUUCACUGGGCGUAAAGGGUGCGUAGGUGGUCGGGUAAGUCCGAUGUGAAAUCUCCGAGCUUAACUCGGAAACUGCAUCGGAUACUAUUCGACUUGAGGGUUGGAGGGGGGACUGGAAUUCUCGGUGUAGCAGUGAAAUGCGUAGAUAUCGAGAGGAACACCAGUGGCGAAGGCGAGUCCCUGGACAACUCCUGACACUGAGGCACGAAAGCUAGGGGAGCAAACAGG